RNAcentral lists this ribosomal RNA (778 nucleotides) under uncultured Bacteroides sp. RNAcentral's name for it is "bacterial SSU rRNA". It matches the Rfam family "Bacterial small subunit ribosomal RNA", at positions 395 to 1176 of the family's 1533-position model. Lineage: Bacteria; Pseudomonadati; Bacteroidota; Bacteroidia; Bacteroidales; Bacteroidaceae. The record is from RNAcentral.
AGUAGCGUGAAGGAUGACUGCCCUAUGGGUUGUAAACUUCUUUUAUACGGGAAUAAAGUGGAGUAUGCAUACUCCUUUGUAUGUACCGUAUGAAUAAGGAUCGGCUAACUCCGUGCCAGCAGCCGCGGUAAUACGGAGGAUCCGAGCGUUAUCCGGAUUUAUUGGGUUUAAAGGGAGCGUAGGCGGGUGCUUAAGUCAGUUGUGAAAGUUUGCGGCUCAACCGUAAAAUUGCAGUUGAUACUGGGUACCUUGAGUGCAGCAUAGGUAGGCGGAAUUCGUGGUGUAGCGGUGAAAUGCUUAGAUAUCACGAAGAACUCCGAUUGCGAAGGCAGCUUACUGGACUGUAACUGACGCUGAUGCUCGAAAGUGUGGGUAUCAAACAGGAUUAGAUACCCUGGUAGUCCACACAGUAAACGAUGAAUACUCGCUGUUGGCGAUACACAGUCAGCGGCCAAGCGAAAGCAUUAAGUAUUCCACCUGGGGAGUACGCCGGCAACGGUGAAACUCAAAGGAAUUGACGGGGGCCCGCACAAGCGGAGGAACAUGUGGUUUAAUUCGAUGAUACGCGAGGAACCUUACCCGGGCAUAAAUUGCAGCGGAAUGUAGUGGAAACAUUACAGCCUUCGGGCCGCUGUGAAGGUGCUGCAUGGUUGUCGUCAGCUCGUGCCGUGAGGUGUCGGCUUAAGUGCCAUAACGAGCGCAACCCUUAUCUAUAGUUACUAUCAGGUCAUGCUGAGGACUCUAUGGAGACUGCCGUCGUAAGAUGUGAGGAAGGUGG